CGUUGUCUGUGUGGUUUACAAGUUUCUUGGCGAUAUGGGGGGAAAGUUCCUCACAUACCAACGGAAAAUGGGCUUCAUAUACAUGCUGCUGUCUCAUAAUAUGGCGAAGACGAGUCACCUGAAGGCCUAACUCGCCAUAGAAGACUGAAAGAAUUGUCCUGCAGGAUGCUGUGUCCUGCAAUCCUGUGUGCUGUGCUACAGACGCGUGUGGAGGUCAACCCAAAAUGGGCACAGUCUCACCACAGAAGAGUGAAAGAGGAUCCUGGCAGGGAGACGGUAGUGUCCUGCAGAAUGGUGAUGGGCCAAUCUUACAAGAGACCACAGAAAACUGAUAUAGUGAACUAUAGAAACAACAGUGCCUGCUGCAGUAUAACGAGGACACCCUGAGCAGAGAGCUCCAAUAGACCCAGGUCCAGUGUCUUGGCAGGGUGAAAUGGCACUGAUAUGGUGUCCUGCAGGAUGCUGUGUCCUGCAAUCCUGUGUGCUGUGCUACAGACGCGUGUGGAGGUCAACCCAAAAUGGGCACAGUCUCACCACAGAAGAGUGAAAGAGGCUCCCAGAAGUGAGACUGAAUGCCUGUUGCAGUAUGACGAGGACGCAGUGACCAGAGACCUUCAGUAGACCCUGCUGGCAUGAUUGGCGUCUGAAGAAUAUGAAAUCAACAGCAAUGUUUAUAAUGUUGUACAUACCUGUAUAGUCUGUAUUAAAAGGCAGUACCUGUAGUAUUUUUCCUCUUACUUUCAUAUUUACCACAUAUUUACUAUGAAUUGACAACUUUUACUAAAAUCCAUUUUUGCAUGUGCC
This is a long non-coding RNA of Engraulis encrasicolus (European anchovy), 804 nucleotides long. RefSeq lists it as uncharacterized. NCBI's taxonomy places the organism in Eukaryota, Metazoa, Chordata, Actinopteri, Clupeiformes, Engraulidae. The transcript is spliced from 7 exons. The record is from RefSeq and is a predicted model, not a curated record.